Molecule: long non-coding RNA, 1289 nt
Organism: Neofelis nebulosa (Clouded leopard)
Lineage: Eukaryota; Metazoa; Chordata; Mammalia; Carnivora; Felidae
Exons: 2
Source: RefSeq, a predicted model, not a curated record
AAUGUGCUUGUUUUGAGGAAAUCAAUUUGUCUUAUAGAAUGUCUCUCAUUGUGGAUUUUGCUGAUUAUAUCUCCAUGGUGUUAACAUGUUCCACCCCGGAGGCUUAAUAAGAGUCAGAUUCUCAUUUUUGAUGAGAAUGUUUCUUCAGGAAGCACUCCAUGCCUGGUUACCUCUCUCUCUUUUUUAAGUAACAGCGUUAUUGAUGUACAAUUCACAUCCCAUAAAAUUUACUCUUUUAAAGUAUAUAACUCUAUGGUUUUCACCAUAUUCACAAAGUUGUACAACCAACACCAUUAUUUAAUUCCAAAAUUAGAUAGAAUUCCAUCAUCUGGGAAAGAAACCCCAUACCCAUUGGCAGUCACUCCCCAUUCUCCACCUCAACGCCCUGCAAACACUAAUCUGCUUCCUGUUACUAUGUUUUCCUAUUCUGUACAUUUCAUUUACACUUGACCCUUGAAGAAACAAGGCAGGGGUUAGGAGCACUGACGCCCCAUGCGGUUGAAACUCCAUGUAUAAGCUUUGACUCCCCCAAAACGCAACAACUAAUAGUCUACUGUUGACUGGCAUCCUUACUGAUAGCGGAAAGAGUUGCUUAACAUGUAUUUUAUUGUUAUAUGUAUUGUAUAUUGUAUUCUUAUAAUAAAGUAAGCUAGAGAAAAAAAUGUUAUUAAGAAAAUCAUAAGAGAAAAUAAGUUUAUGGUAUUGUACUGUUCAUAAAAAAAAAAUAUAUCUGUGUAGAAGUGGCCCUGCACAGUUCAAACCUGUGUUGAUCGAGGGUCAGCUGUAAUGGAAUCAGAAAGUAUGUGUGUGUGUGUUCUUUUUAAUGUUUGUUUAUUUUUGAUAGAGAAAGACAGAGUGCCAGUGAGGAAGUGGCAGAGAGAGAGGGAGACACAGAAUCUGAAGCAGGCUCCAGGCUCUGAGCUGCCAGCACAGAGCCCGACACAGGGCUCGAACCCACGAACCACGGGAUCAUGACCUGAGCUGAAGUCGGAUGCUCAACCGACUGGGCCACCCGGGUGCUCCAGGCAAGAGAGACAGAGCGUGAGCAGGGGAGGGGCAGAGAGAGAGCGAGACACAGCAUCCGAAGCAGGCUCCAGGCUCCGAGCUGUCAGCACAGAUCCCGACGCGGGGCUAGAACUCACAAACCACGAGAUCAUAACCUGAGCCAAAGUCGGACGCGUAACCGACUGAGCCACCCAGGCGCCCCCAAAUUAUUUUGUUUUAAAGUCACUUGAAAUAGCUUCUGUCUGUGUGGUAACGCCACAACUCAAUACACACAUUUUAUUUCA